UACGUAGGGGACGAGCGUUGUCCGGAAUCACUGGGCGUAAAGGGCGCGUAGGCGGUUUUAUAAGUCAGAUGUGAAAGGUACCGGCUCAACCGGUGACGUGCAUUUGAAACUGUAAGACUUGAGUACUGAAGAGGCAAGCGGAAUUCCUAGUGUAGCGGUGAAAUGCGUAGAUAUUAGGAAGAACACCGGUGGCGAAGGCGGCUUGCUGGGCAGAUACUGACGCUGAGGUGCGAAAGCGUGGGGAGCGAACAGG
This 253-nucleotide ribosomal RNA is filed under the name uncultured bacterium. RNAcentral's name for it is "partial 16S ribosomal RNA". It matches the Rfam family "Bacterial small subunit ribosomal RNA", at positions 524 to 776 of the family's 1533-position model. The record is from RNAcentral.